GAUUCCUUGCUGAAGAUGCAAACUUAAACUUGUAUCUGUGAAAGUCUACAGACUGAUCUGCUCACAAAUUUACACUGUUAAUGGCAGCAACUGAAACUCCUAGUAGAGGUUUCAAAGAAUGACAAUAACCAUGUUUACCACAAAACCCAGUCUGUAACCCUUGCUAACCUGAUACUACAGCAGCUGUGGAGUCAGUCAAAAACAACAAAAGGUUCCUUUCUAUGUCAAUGUCAAGAAGAGGGCUGCGGUCUGCCCUGAACCUCCCCUGCACUGCCAGCUGUUUCAGGACCCUGCAGACAUGGCCCGGCAAGGAGAGAUGUGACUCCACCUCUGGAUAAUACACAAGGCAGCAGCUGGCAACUGAGAUUACAAUGUCCUGGGAAUUCUGCAACGCUCCUGUCCAGAGCAGGGUCAUCUUUUUCGACCCUUUGGUUUCCAUCUAAUGAAUACAACUUUCUCAGAUACUACUGUCUUCAUUCCUUUUCCAGUGAACUGGUGCACUAUGGAGUCAUUUAAGAAUCCUGAUUGUACGACUUAGCUCUCUGAUCUGGGGGCUUCUAAAUCCCAUUGUGGAAUGAUGUAGAGUCAUGGAUGGUUUCUCUGAAGCUGCUGAACUUCCUCAGGUAAAGAAUUUUUAACAUGUGGUAUAAUAUAUUACAUGUAAAAAAUGAAGCAUUCAGGAAAAAAGAUGAGACAUUCAGAAUGUAGUACAAUUGAUUUUCUAAUAAUUAUGAUCAAUGGCUCUUUUUAGCCAUUCCCAGACUAGUCCAUGUCUUAUAUUUAACUGUGUAAUCUGUGUUAACCAAUGCA
Long non-coding RNA from Ochotona curzoniae (black-lipped pika), 810 nucleotides. RefSeq lists it as uncharacterized. The record is from RefSeq and is a predicted model, not a curated record. The transcript is spliced from 3 exons. NCBI's taxonomy places the organism in Eukaryota, Metazoa, Chordata, Mammalia, Lagomorpha, Ochotonidae.